This 253-nucleotide ribosomal RNA is filed under the name uncultured bacterium. RNAcentral's name for it is "partial 16S ribosomal RNA". It matches the Rfam family "Bacterial small subunit ribosomal RNA", at positions 524 to 776 of the family's 1533-position model. The record is from RNAcentral.
UACGUAGGUGGCAAGCGUUGUCCGGAUUUACUGGGCGUAAAGAGCGCGCAGGCGGUCGUACAAGUCGCGUGUGAAAGCCCCCGGCUCAACUGGGGAGGGUCACGCGAUACUGUUCGACUCGAAGGCAGGAGAGGGAAGCAGAAUUCCUGGUGUAGCAGUGAAAUGCGUAGAUAUCUGGAGGAACACCGGUGGCGAAGGCGGCAUCCUGGACCAACACUGACACUGAGGAGCGAAAGCCAGGGGAGCAAACGGG